RNAcentral lists this ribosomal RNA (253 nucleotides) under uncultured bacterium. RNAcentral describes it as "partial 16S ribosomal RNA". It matches the Rfam family "Bacterial small subunit ribosomal RNA", at positions 524 to 776 of the family's 1533-position model. The record is from RNAcentral.
UACGGGGGGGGCAAGCGUUGUUCGGAAUUACUGGGCGUAAAGGGCGCGUAGGCGGCCAUCUAAGUCAGACGUGAAAUCCCUCGGCUCAACCGAGGAACUGCGUCUGAUACUGGAAGGCUUGAAUCCGGGAGAGGGAUGUGGAAUUCCAGGUGUAGCGGUGAAAUGCGUAGAUAUCUGGAGGAACACCGGUGGCGAAGGCGGCAUCCUGGACCGACACUGACGCUGAGGAGCGAAAGCCAGGGGAGCAAACGGG